This is a long non-coding RNA of Heterocephalus glaber (naked mole-rat), 2507 nucleotides long. NCBI's taxonomy places the organism in Eukaryota, Metazoa, Chordata, Mammalia, Rodentia, Bathyergidae. The record is from Ensembl.
UCUCUCUCUCUCUCUCUCUCUCUCUCUCACACACACACACACACACACACACACACACACACACACUCACCAUCCCUCUGUGCCUCUCCUAACUGCACCAUCCUUCUCUUCUCUUCUGGUAGUGUUACUAUCGUAGUGCCCCUUAUCUCUCCACCUCUCAGAUGGUAUCUGCCCUCCCACCACUAUGUCUGCUUUUCUCCCUGCCAAUGUCACCCCUGCCCAGAAGGCUAGGAUUCUGCCCUUUGGGGACAUUCCAGGCAAAUGGGCCUUCACACCUCUCCUCUGCUUUGUCAUCCAGAGUGCCACCUGCCUGAUCACAGAGAAUCCUCAGGACUGCAGGGAUGAGACAUCCUGUGCAAAAGAGUUGGACCCACCAGAAUGCACAGAAGGUAGACUCUGCUCCACUUUUCCACCUGCUCCUUGUCCCCCUGGAACCUUCCUCUCUGGAGCGGGUUACCACAAUACCUCCUUCUGUGACCUCUGGCCUCCUGGGUUCUUCAAGCCCUGGCCUGGCCAGGAUGCCUGUUUCCCCUAUGGCUCAGAGGUCACCCAGCCAGAGAAGGAAAAGGACACCUGUGUCUGCCAUGGGCCUGGGAGAGUGUUCCAGCCCAGUGACAGUCAGUGCCCCUGCCUCCCAGGCUGCCAAGACAUUGGCAAGCCCAUGGGUUGUGUCCAGCGGGAACACAAAAGCUGCCAAGAUGGGGCCACUUGGAACCAGGAGGGCCUAUGUUUGACCAAAGAUCAGUGGACUGACCACUGUGCCCAUGAGGUGUGUGCCAUACCAAGAGAUGCCCAUGGCUAUGACCCAGACGUAGGACUCUGCUUGUGCUGGGGACAAUACUCAAGUGGAAUGUGUGGCCCCCUGUGCCUAGAAGAACAGAAACAUGUCCUGCAACUCAGCUGCCCUGAUGGCAUCCCACAGACUUUCAUCACUGAAGGUGUUGGGAGCCAGGGGCCACUUCUACAAUACACUGGAGCAGUUUGACUGGGGGUGCUUUUGGUUCCUGGCCGAGGAAUCUCCACUCUCUGAGCAAGGGACCCACCUCUUUCUGCAGCAGUUCCAGCUGCCUGGGGUCUACAUUUUUCAUCUGAGCAACAACCGGCAUUGGAAGAUGGUUUGUCUAUGAUGGUUUGCCUCGUUUGAGACCUUAUUCCUUUUCCUCCUCUUUAAAAAAAAUAAAACCACAUAAUAACCACCUUAGAUAGAUCUUCAGGCAAAUUAAUGCCCUAGAUGUCUCCACUUAAGUUUCAGGGUCUCACACUCCUAACAGAUGAUUCUGAGGACACCAAGCUUCCCUCCAUAGCAGCCCAAAAAGUGAUAUGCAAAAAGAGGAUUGUGAGGACAAAUACUCAAAUGUGCCUAAAGGAUAUCAGUGGUAACAAAUGGCUUAGGACCUCCGGUUCUCACAAGCCCUGUACUUUAUCUUCCCCUCCCACCCUUCUCCUAUCCUGAAGGCACAUAUCCCAAGACCAUCUACAUAAUAAUUUAUCUCUAUGACCCACACAUUAUGCCUCCACUGAUCCAGGUGCUUUGUCUACGUCACCCAAGGAACUUAAUAUAUUAGCCUAUUAGCAUGUCAUCUAAUAGGCUGUACUGACCUAGCCCUGGAAUAUAUAGUCAGCUCCCCCUAUAAAUAGUCAUUUGAUACAUAUGAGUUUCCCAGGAAAACCCAGAUUCCACACACCCCCACACACAGUCCCAGGUCUACACAACAAUCUGGACUAUUUGGUUAGUGUUGACAUGCCUGGAUUGCCACUCUGUCCUCUCGUAAGUCUCUGAUAGACAGACAAAGAAUGAACAGACUUCUUUCCAUGCAGUACCUCUGCACUCUUCCACCUGGGGGCCAAUGCUUUGGAGAUGGGCCUUUGCCUUCACAACCCCUAGGUAUCUCAUCCAGACUGGUAUCGUCAAGAUCCCCAGUGCCCUGAAGAGGUCUGACUGGCCAGAAGUCCUGGGGGAGAUCGUGCUGCUCCUGAGACUCUGCCUGGUUUUGUUGUUUCAGUAUCACCAGCUCAGCUGGGCUCGGAGGGCCACCCCUUAUCCAACCUACAGUAUCUAUCAGCAAGGAUACAACCUUGAUGCAUACACUUCUCCAAGAACUGGGAUGAUUUCAGUAAGAAGAGGCCAAUCUCAACAAGAUUCUGAUGCUCCCAGACAUGAGGGAGGCCAUGGUUGGAGUUAGGAGGCUGAGAAGCAGGUGGACAUGGAGUGGUUUGACACAGAAGCCUUCUUUGAGAUCCUGCUCCUGAUCACUGCUCUGGCAGUGACAACCAAACUCAGCCAAACCAAGGAGGAGGUUGCUGAGGUUGUUGCCAGGGCAGCAGAGGAAGAGGCCAGGCAGAGGGCACACCUGGCACCUGAAUAUGCAGCAAGCCUUAGUCACCAGCUGAAGAUCCUUCACCAAGACCUCCGGGCCAGGCAGGAGCAGUGGGCCUCUUUCUGCUCAGCACUGAUGGAGGCUAUGCGGUUGCUGAAGGCACUGACAGGCUCCAGGCCACAGAAUUCC